UUCAGAUUACUGAUAGUGAUGUUGUUUGUGAAGGAUGCUGGGAGCUUGCAAUGGGUGCUGUUAAUCAAGUUUUACAAGAAGAAAUAAAUCCUCAGGGUGGCCAGCAAGCUUCAUCAUCUAACCAUGGCCAUUCUCAAGUGUGCAUUUUAUGUGGCUGUUCCAUUUUGCGAAGACAAAGUGAUUUGAUAUUUAGAGAAAAUCCAUCACAAUUACAAAUACAAGUGGUUUCAAUAAUUGAAGGAAGAAUUUCACCAAGACAAGUAAAUAUUGGGAAUACCAGAAUACUGCUGCAACUGUUUAGUGGGCAGACGCAUAAUUGGUUGUUGUGUGCAUGUAAUGACGCUCCUGUGGUACGUUGGAUGAGCUAGACAUCAAACCAAUAGAAAUGCACCUGCGGAAUUUCUCGAUGAAGUUUUAAUUAGAGACGAAGAAAUAUAAA
Molecule: long non-coding RNA, 439 nt
Organism: Leptidea sinapis
Lineage: Eukaryota; Metazoa; Arthropoda; Insecta; Lepidoptera; Pieridae
Exons: 2
Source: RefSeq, a predicted model, not a curated record